GAUGAACGCUGGCGGCGUGCCUAAUACAUGCAAGUCGAGCGAACAGACGAGGAGCUUGCUCCUCUGACGUUAGCGGCGGACGGGUGAGUAACACGUGGAUAACCUACCUAUAAGACUGGGAUAACUUCGGGAAACCGGAGCUAAUACCGGAUAAUAUAUUGAACCGCAUGGUUCAAUAGUGAAAGACGGUUUUGCUGUCACUUAUAGAUGGAUCCGCGCCGCAUUAGCUAGUUGGUAAGGUAACGGCUUACCAAGGCAACGAUGCGUAGCCGACCUGAGAGGGUGGUCGGCCACACUGGAAGUGAGACACGGUCCAGACUCCUACGGGAGGCAGCAGUAGGGAAUCUUCCGCAAUGGGCGAAAGCCUGACGGAGCAACGCCGAGUGAGUGAUGAAGGUCUUCGGAUCGUAAAACUCUGUUAUUAGGGAAGAACAAAUGUGUAAGUAACUAUGCACGUCUUGACGGUACUUAAUCAGAAAGCCACGGCUAACUACGUG
RNAcentral lists this ribosomal RNA (497 nucleotides) under uncultured bacterium. RNAcentral's name for it is "partial 16S ribosomal RNA". It matches the Rfam family "Bacterial small subunit ribosomal RNA", at positions 28 to 507 of the family's 1533-position model. The record is from RNAcentral.